UACGUAUGGAGCGAGCGUUGUCCGGAAUUAUUGGGCGUAAAGCGCGCGUAGGCGGCGAGAUUAGUCUGAUGUGAAAGCCCCCGGCUCAACCGGGGAAGGUCAUUGGAAACUGUUUCGCUUGAGUGCAGAAGAGGAGAGUGGAAUUCCAUGUGUAGCGGUGAAAUGCGCAGAGAUAUGGAGGAACACCAGUGGCGAAGGCGGCUCUCUGGUCUGCAACUGACGCUGAUGUGCGAAAGCGUGGGGAUCAAACAGG
This 253-nucleotide ribosomal RNA is filed under the name uncultured bacterium. Its description in RNAcentral is "partial 16S ribosomal RNA". It matches the Rfam family "Bacterial small subunit ribosomal RNA", at positions 524 to 776 of the family's 1533-position model. The record is from RNAcentral.